CGGAAUGCGGGUGCUAUACAUGCAAGUCGAGCGCAGGAACCAGAUGACCCCUUCGGGGUGAUUCUGGUGGAAUGAGCGGCGGACGGGUGAGUAACACGUGGGCAACCUGCCUGUAAGACUGGGAUAACUUCGGGAAACCGGAGCUAAUACCGGAUAGUAUUUCCUUUCUCCUGAUUGGAAAUGGAAAGACGGUUUCGGCUGUCACUUACAGAUGGGCCCGCGGUGCAUUAGCUAGUUGGUGGGGUAAUGGCCCACCAAGGCGACGAUGCAUAGCCGACCUGAGAGGGUGAUCGGCCACACUGGGACUGAGACACGGCCCAGACUCCUACGGGAGGCAGCAGUAGGGAAUCUUCCGCAAUGGACGAAAGUCUGACGGAGCAACGCCGCGUGAGCGAUGAAGGCCUUCGGGUCGUAAAGCUCUGUUGUUAGGGAAGAACAAGUACGAGAGUAACUGCUCGUACCUUGACGGUACCUAACCAGAAAGCCCCGGCUAACUACGUGCCAGCAGCCGCGGUAAUACGUAGGGGGCAAGCGUUGUCCGGAAUUAUUG
This 550-nucleotide ribosomal RNA is filed under the name bacterium. RNAcentral's name for it is "bacterial SSU rRNA". It matches the Rfam family "Bacterial small subunit ribosomal RNA", at positions 36 to 556 of the family's 1533-position model. The record is from RNAcentral.